RNAcentral lists this long non-coding RNA (400 nucleotides) under Selaginella moellendorffii. RNAcentral's name for it is "long non-coding RNA (SMOE_LNC000396)". Lineage: Eukaryota; Viridiplantae; Streptophyta; Lycopodiopsida; Selaginellales; Selaginellaceae. The record is from RNAcentral.
CUUUCUCGAGAAUGCACACACGGAUUCCUGCUUCUGCGAGUCGAUAUGCAGCAAUCGAUCCUCCAUAGCCAGAUCCAACAACAACCGCGUCGUACCCGACUUGGAUGGUACGUUCCACUUGCGUUUGAGACAUAACUCGUCUCACUUUUGUUCUCCCCUCUUUGUUCUCCCCUCUUACAGAAAUUCACCCUCGUCGAGAUGUUCUAGGGACAAAGAACUGCCUAUCAAGGUACCAUCCUUCAGCACAACACGCAUACAAAUUUGACGUUGAAUUUGUUUCGUUUACUUUUUUAUUUUUUGGUAGACUUUAACAUCCUCACUUUAAUAUGAUUAGCACUAGUCCUUACUAUAUUGUUAGGAUCGGACUCACUCCUUUAAAGAAAAAAAAUUAAGAUUGAGG